Molecule: ribosomal RNA, 1458 nt
Filed under: uncultured organism
Description: SSU rRNA
Rfam family: Bacterial small subunit ribosomal RNA
Source: RNAcentral
CUGGCGGCGUGCCUAAUACAUGCAAGUAGAACUCUGAAGAGAGGAGCUUGCUCUUCUUGGAUGAGUUGCGAACGGGUGAGUAACGCGUAGGUAACCUGCCUUGUAGCGGGGGAUAACUAUUGGAAACGAUAGCUAAUACCGCAUAACAAUGGAUGACACAUGUCAUUUAUUUGAAAGGGGCAAUUGCUCCACUACAAGAUGGACCUGCGUUGUAUUAGCUAGUAGGUGAGGUAAUGGCUCACCUAGGCGACGAUACAUAGCCGACCUGAGAGGGUGAUCGGCCACACUGGGACUGAGACACGGCCCAGACUCCUACGGGAGGCAGCAGUAGGGAAUCUUCGGCAAUGGGGGCAACCCUGACCGAGCAACGCCGCGUGAGUGAAGAAGGUUUUCGGAUCGUAAAGCUCUGUUGUAAGUCAAGAACGGGUGUGAGAGUGGAAAGUUCACACUAUGACGGUAGCUUACCAGAAAGGGACGGCUAACUACGUGCCAGCAGCCGCGGUAAUACGUAGGUCCCGAGCGUUGUCCGGAUUUAUUGGGCGUAAAGCGAGCGCAGGCGGUUUGAUAAGUCUGAAGUUAAAGGCUGUGGCUCAACCAUAGUUCGCUUUGGAAACUGUCAAACUUGAGUGCAGAAGGGGAGAGUGGAAUUCCAUGUGUAGCGGUGAAAUGCGUAGAUAUAUGGAGGAACACCGGUGGCGAAAGCGGCUCUCUGGUCUGUAACUGACGCUGAGGCUCGAAAGCGUGGGGAGCGAACAGGAUUAGAUACCCUGGUAGUCCACGCCGUAAACGAUGAGUGCUAGGUGUUGGAUCCUUUCCGGGAUUCAGUGCCGCAGCUAACGCAUUAAGCACUCCGCCUGGGGAGUACGACCGCAAGGUUGAAACUCAAAGGAAUUGACGGGGGCCCGCACAAGCGGUGGAGCAUGUGGUUUAAUUUGAAGCAACGCGAAGAACCUUACCAGGUCUUGACAUCCCGAUGCUAUUUCUAGAGAUAGAAAGUUACUUCGGUACAUCGGUGACAGGUGGUGCAUGGUUGUUGUCAGUUCGUGUCGUGAGAUGUUGGGUUAAGUCCCGCAACGAGCGCAACCCCUAUUGUUAGUUGCCAUCAUUCAGUUGGGCACUCUAGCGAGACUGCCGGUAAUAAACCGGAGGAAGGUGGGGAUGACGUCAAAUCAUCAUGCCCCUUAUGACCUGGGCUACACACGUGCUACAAUGUGUUGGUACAACGAGUUGCGAGUCGGUGACGGCGAGCUAAUCUCUUAAAGCCAAUCUCAGUUCGGAUUGUAGGUUGCAACUCGCCUACAUGAAGUCGGAAUCGAUAGUAAUCGCGGAUCAGCACGCCGCGGUGAAUACGUUCCCGGGCCUUGUACACACCGCCCGUCACACCACGAGAGUUUGUAACACCCGAAGUCGGUGAGGUAACCUUUUGGAGCCAGCCGCUUAAGGUGGGACAGAUGAUUG